UACAUGUGGGGCAAGCGUUGUUCGGAAUUACUGGGCAUAAAGGGUGCGUAGGCGGCUUGUUAAGUCAGGGGUGAAAGUUUUCGGCCCAACCGGAAAAUUGCCUUUGAUACUGGCGAGCUUGAGUGCGUGAGGGGUAACCGGAACGAGUGGUGUAGCGGUGAAAUGCGUAGAUAUCAAGUGGAACACCAGUGGCGAAGGCGAAUCCCUGGAAAAUACCUGACACUGAGGCACGAAAGCUAGGGGAGCAAACAGG
RNAcentral lists this ribosomal RNA (253 nucleotides) under uncultured bacterium. RNAcentral describes it as "partial 16S ribosomal RNA". It matches the Rfam family "Bacterial small subunit ribosomal RNA", at positions 524 to 776 of the family's 1533-position model. The record is from RNAcentral.